AGAGUUCGAUCCUGGCUCAGAACGAACGCUGGCGGCAGGCCUAACACAUGCAAGUCGAGCGCCCAGCAAUGGGAGCGGCGCACGGGUGAGUAACACGUGGGAACGUGCCCUUUGGUUCGGAAUAACUCAGGGAAACUUGAGCUAAUACCGGAUAAGCCCUACGGGGGAAAGAUUUAUCGCCAUUGGAGCGGCCCGCGUUGGAUUAGCUAGUUGGUGGGGUAAAAGCCUACCAAGGCAACGAUCCAUAGCUGGUUUGAGAGAACGACCAGCCACACUGGGACUGAGACACGGCCCAGACUCCUGCGGGAGGCAGCAGUGGGGAAUCUUGGACAAUGGGGGAAACCCUGAUCCAGCCAUGCCGCGUGAGUGAUGAAGGCCCUAGGGUUGUAAAACUCUUUCGCGCACGACGAUAAUGACGGUAGUGCGAGAAGAAGCUCCGGCUAACUUCGUGCCAGCAGCCGCGGUAAUACGAAGGGGGCUAGCGUUGUUCGGAUUUACUGGGCGUAAAGCGCGCGCAGGCGGUCCUUCAAGUCAGGGGUGAAAGCCCAGAGCUCAACUCUGGAACUGCCUUUGAGACUGUAGGACUUGGGUAUGGGAGAGGUGAGUGGAAUUCCGAGUGUAGAGGUGAAAUUCGUAGAUAUUCGGAAGAACACCAGUGGCGAAGGCGGCUCACUGGCCCAUUACCGACGCUCAGGCGCGAUAGCGUGGGGAGCAAACAGGAUUAGAUACCCUGGUAGUCCACGCCGUAAACGAUGGAUGCUAGCCGUUGGUAAGCAUGCUUAUCAGUGGCGCAGCUAACGCAUUAAGCAUCCCGCCUGGGGAGUACGGCCGCAAGGUUGAAACUCAAAUGAAUUGACGGGGGCCCGCACAAGCGGUGGAGCAUGUGGUUUAAUUCGACACUACGCGCAGAACCUUACCAGGCCUUGACAUCCCGUGCUAAACCCAGAGAUGGGUCGUCCCCGCAAGGGGCGCGGAGACAGGUGCUGCAUGGCUGUCGUCAGCUCGUGUCGUGAGAUGUUGGGUUAAGUCCCGCAACGAGCGCAACCCUCGCCUUUAGUUGCCAUCAUUAAGUUGGGCACUCUAAAGGGACCGCCGGCGACAAGCCGGAGGAAGGUGGGGAUGACGUCAAGUCCUCAUGGCCCUUACGGCCUGGGCUACACACGUGCUACAAUGGCGGUGACAGUGGGCAGCGACCACGCGAGUGGAUGCGAAUCCCAAAAAACCGUCCCAGUUCAGAUUGCACUCUGCAACUCGGGUGCAUGAAGGUGGAAUCGCUAGUAAUCGCAGAACAGCAGGCUGCGGUGAAUACGUUCCCGGGCCUUGUACACACCGCCCGUCACACCAUGGGAGUUGGUUCUACCUGAAGACGGUGCGCUAACCGCAAGGAGGCAGCCGGCCACGGUAGGGUCAGCGACUGGGGUGAAGUCGUAACAAGGUA
Molecule: ribosomal RNA, 1438 nt
Filed under: metagenome
Description: bacterial SSU rRNA
Rfam family: Bacterial small subunit ribosomal RNA
Source: RNAcentral